RNAcentral lists this ribosomal RNA (399 nucleotides) under Staphylococcus aureus. Its description in RNAcentral is "bacterial SSU rRNA". It matches the Rfam family "Bacterial small subunit ribosomal RNA", at positions 192 to 579 of the family's 1533-position model. The record is from RNAcentral. Lineage: Bacteria; Bacillati; Bacillota; Bacilli; Caryophanales; Staphylococcaceae.
GUUCAAAAGUGAAAGACGGUCUUGCUGUCACUUAUAGAUGGAUCCGCGCUGCAUUAGCUAGUUGGUAAGGUAACGGCUUACCAAGGCAACGAUGCAUAGCCGACCUGAGAGGGUGAUCGGCCACACUGGAACUGAGACACGGUCCAGACUCCUACGGGAGGCAGCAGUAGGGAAUCUUCCGCAAUGGGCGAAAGCCUGACGGAGCAACGCCGCGUGAGUGAUGAAGGUCUUCGGAUCGUAAAACUCUGUUAUUAGGGAAGAACAUAUGUGUAAGUAACUGUGCACAUCUUGACGGUACCUAAUCAGAAAGCCACGGCUAACUACGUGCCAGCAGCCGCGGUAAUACGUAGGUGGCAAGCGUUAUCCGGAAUUAUUGGGCGUAAAGCGCGCGUAGGCGGU